This 346-nucleotide unclassified non-coding RNA is filed under the name Hevea brasiliensis (rubber tree). Lineage: Eukaryota; Viridiplantae; Streptophyta; Magnoliopsida; Malpighiales; Euphorbiaceae. The record is from RNAcentral.
UACAUGAAGAAAUUACCUUUUAAUUUUUUGUUCUGUAAAAAACAAAUGAAAAAAAUGAAAAAUAGUCAACGUUUCAUGAAAAAGGUGUUGCCUCUAGCCCAACACUUUUCUCUCUAGGCGCUCACCUAAUGCAAUCCAGGCAAGGCGUAGCCAGGCGAGGCGCUAGAGGUUCGCCUCACCUCACCCGGCACCCUGGAGUGCCUUUAACAACACUGCUAUGCUAUGUUGCAGUUUCAACAUUUACAACUUACUUGGCUGUUCUUGACACACCAAAACAUUUGCGCAACAGAAAGAAAAGAUAAAAUUCUCUCUUGAAGCUUACCUGGAAAAGCCCACCUUGAACAAG